AUUUUCAAUUGGGUCUUAUCUAUUCAUAUAUUUUUUGGGUUUCUGUUGAGAUUUGAAGAUAAGACCAAAUUCACUGAUAAAUUGAAACUUUUGCCUUGAAUGUUUGUGUGUGUUCCAUUCUUUCUCUUCAUGUCAUGUGAAAAAACUCCAUCACUAUAAAAUUACUUGGUUUUUCUUCAAAUUUGGAUAGAGAAAAAUCUCUCUGGGUCUUCUUCGUAUGACCCUUUGAAUACAACGUUAAAGGUUAAGAAUUUGAGCCUUUUGCCCGACCAUCGAAGAUAAAGGUGUAUUUGUGGGUUGAGAUUUGUAAGACUACUAGGCUAGAAAUGCUUUUGGGUGACUGGUAUGAUAUAAAGAAUAAAAAGGAAUAUUCAAUCAUGUGAGUUUGAGAUCGGACCAAUCAAGAAGAGUGAGG
RNAcentral lists this long non-coding RNA (415 nucleotides) under Olea europaea subsp. europaea. Lineage: Eukaryota; Viridiplantae; Streptophyta; Magnoliopsida; Lamiales; Oleaceae. The record is from RNAcentral.